UAACCUGCCCACUGAUUCUAUAAGAUUUAAUGGCCGCGGUAUUAAUGACCGUGCAAAGGUAGCAUAAUCAUUAGUCUUUUAAUUAGAGGCUUGUAUGAAUGGUUGGACAAGGGGGGAACUGUCUUUUUAGUAAAGAUUGAAUUUAACUUUUAAGUGAAAAGGCUUAAAUAUUUCAAAGGGACGAUAAGACCCUAUAAAGCUUUAUAGAGAAUAAAAUUUAGAUUAAGGUGUUUUAUUAAAGAUUAAGGUUUGUAAUAUUAUUGAGUUGGGGUAACGAGAGUAUAAUUGUUAGGUAACUGCUUAGUUUUUAUACAAAUAUAUUUGUGUUCAGGGUUAUAUGAUCCUUGAUUUUAAGAUUUUAAGAGCAAGUUACUUUAGGGAUAACAGCGUUAUUUUUUUUGAGAGUUCGUAUCGAAAAAAGAGUUUGCGACCUCGAUGUUGAAUUAAAAUUUCUAUGUGGUGUAGUUGUUGCAUAAGAAGGUCUGUUCGACCUUUAAUUUUUUACAUGAUUUGAGUUCAGACCGGUGUGAGCC
Molecule: ribosomal RNA, 533 nt
Filed under: Ptychophallus sp. R193-7
Lineage: Eukaryota; Metazoa; Arthropoda; Malacostraca; Decapoda; Pseudothelphusidae
Description: partial 16S ribosomal RNA
Rfam family: Bacterial large subunit ribosomal RNA
Source: RNAcentral